RNAcentral lists this transfer RNA (76 nucleotides) under Sphingobium phage Lacusarx. RNAcentral describes it as "tRNA-Arg". It matches the Rfam family "tRNA". Rfam says of the family: Transfer RNA (tRNA) molecules are approximately 80 nucleotides in length. Lineage: Duplodnaviria; Heunggongvirae; Uroviricota; Caudoviricetes. The record is from RNAcentral.
GGCCCGGAAGCACAACUGGACGUGCGCUCCGCUACGAACGGAAAGGUUGUGGGUUCGAGUCCCACGCGGGCCUCCA